UACAGAGGGUGCAAGCGUUGUUCGGAAUUACUGGGCGUAAAGCGCGUGUAGGCGGCGUCAUAAGUCGGAUGUGAAAUCCCUCAGCUUAACUGCGGAAGUGCAUCCGAUACUGUGUCGCUUGAGUGCCGGAGGGGAUGGUGGAAUUCCCGGUGUAGAGGUGAAAUUCGUAGAUAUCGGGAGGAACACCUGUGGCGAAGGCGACCAUCUGGACGGUGACUGACGCUGAGACGCGAAAGCGUGGGUAGCAAACAGG
RNAcentral lists this ribosomal RNA (253 nucleotides) under uncultured bacterium. RNAcentral describes it as "partial 16S ribosomal RNA". It matches the Rfam family "Bacterial small subunit ribosomal RNA", at positions 524 to 776 of the family's 1533-position model. The record is from RNAcentral.